RNAcentral lists this ribosomal RNA (497 nucleotides) under uncultured bacterium. Its description in RNAcentral is "partial 16S ribosomal RNA". It matches the Rfam family "Bacterial small subunit ribosomal RNA", at positions 28 to 507 of the family's 1533-position model. The record is from RNAcentral.
GAUGAACGCUGGCGGCGUGCCUAAUACAUGCAAGUCGAGCGAACGGACGAGAAGCUUGCUUCUCUGAUGUUAGCGGCGGACGGGUGAGUAACACGUGGAUAACCUACCUAUAAGACUGGGAUAACUUCGGGAAACCGGAGCUAAUACCGGAUGAUAUUUUGAACCGCAUGGUUCAAAAGUGAAAGACGGUCUUGCUGUCACUUAUAGAUGGAUCCGCGCUGCAUUAGCUAGUUGGUAAGGUAACGGCUUACCAAGGCAACGAUGCAUAGCCGACCUGAGAGGGUGCUCAGCCACACUGGAACUGAGACACGGUCCAGACUCCUACGGGAGGCAGCAGUAGGGAAUCUUCCGCAAUGGGCGAAAGCCUGACGGAACAACGCCGCGUGAGUGCUGAAGGUCUUCGGAUCGUAAAGCUCUGUUAUUAGGGAAGAACAUAUGUGUAAGUAACUGUGCACAUCUUGACGGUACCUAAUCAGAAAGCCACGGCUAACUACGUG